Molecule: long non-coding RNA, 207 nt
Filed under: Mytilus galloprovincialis (Mediterranean mussel)
Lineage: Eukaryota; Metazoa; Mollusca; Bivalvia; Mytilida; Mytilidae
Source: RNAcentral
UUAUUUUUUUCCGACGUAGUCGGUAUAGUUUCGGUUUGUGCCCUUUGAACUUAAGGACGCUUAACUAUGGCAACAGAAUACGCAUGCUCGAAAAUCCUUUCUGUGAUUGGACAAAAUGCUGUCAUGGUGGGUGAUUUGGUUGUGUUUGAAAAAACGUCUCGUUAAUUAUAUCGUGAUGGAAAGCAAGUGAAAAACUAUAAAUAUUUG